UACGGAGAGUGCAAGCAUUAAUCGGAAUUAUUGGGCGUAAAGGGCGCGUAGGCGGAAGAGGAAGUCAGAUGUGAAAUUCCGAAGCUCAACUUCGGAGCUGCAUUUGAAACUUUUUUUCUAGAGGAUUGACGGAGAAAACGGAAUUCCACGUGUAGCGGUGAAAUGCGUAGAUAUGUGGAAGAACACCAGUGGCGAAAGCGGUUUUCUAGUUAAUACCUGACGCUGAGGCGCGAGAGCAAGGGGAGCAAACAGG
This 253-nucleotide ribosomal RNA is filed under the name uncultured bacterium. RNAcentral describes it as "partial 16S ribosomal RNA". It matches the Rfam family "Bacterial small subunit ribosomal RNA", at positions 524 to 776 of the family's 1533-position model. The record is from RNAcentral.